This 505-nucleotide ribosomal RNA is filed under the name uncultured Glomeraceae. Its description in RNAcentral is "SSU rRNA". It matches the Rfam family "Eukaryotic small subunit ribosomal RNA", at positions 569 to 1078 of the family's 1831-position model. The record is from RNAcentral. Lineage: Eukaryota; Fungi; Glomeromycota; Glomeromycetes; Glomerales; Glomeraceae.
CGCAGCCGCGGUAAUUCCAGCUCCAAUAGCGUAUAUUAAAGUUGUUGCAGUUAAAAAGCUCGUAGUUGAAUUUCGGGGUCAGUAGGUUGGUCAUGCCACUGGUAUGUACUGGUCUCACUGAUUCCUCCUUCCUGAUGAGCCGUAAUGCCAUUAAUUUGGUGUUGCGAGGAAUCUGGACUGUUACUUUGAAAAAUUAGAGUGUUUAAAGCAGGCUAACGCUUGAAUACAUUAGCAUGGAAUAAUGAAAUAGGACGUUCGAUCCUAUUUUGUUGGCUUCUAGGAUUGACGUAAUGAUUAAUAGGGAUAGUUGGGGGCAUUAGUAUUCAAUUGUCAGAGGUGAAAUUCUUGGAUUUAUUGAAGACUAACUACUGCGAAAGCAUUUGCCAAGGAUGCUUUCAUUAAUCAAGAACGAAAGUUAGGGGAUCGAAGACGAUCAGAUACCGUCGUAGUCUUAACCAUAAACUAUGCCGACUAGGGAUCGGAUGAUGUUAAUUUUUAUGACUCA